GACGAACGCUGGCGGCGUGCUUAACACAUGCAAGUCGAACGGAAAGGCCCUGCUUUUGUGGGGUGCUCGAGUGGCGAACGGGUGAGUAACACGUGAGUAACCUGCCCUUGACUUUGGGAUAACUUCAGGAAACUGGGGCUAAUACCGGAUAGGAGCUCCUGCUGCACGGUGGGGGUUGGAAAGUUUCGGCGGUUCGGGAUGGACUCGCGGCUUAUCAGCUUGUUGGUGGGGUAGUGGCUUACCAAGGCUUUGACGGGUAGCCGGCCUGAGAGGGUGACCGGCCACAUUGGGACUGAGAUACGGCCCAGACUCCUACGGGAGGCAGCAGUGGGGAAUAUUGCACAAUGGGCGGAAGCCUGAUGCAGCAACGCCGCGUGCGGGAUGACGGCCUUCGGGUUGUAAACCGCUUUCGCCUGUGACGAAGCGUGAGUGACGGUAAUGGGUAAAGAAGCACCGGCUAACUACGUG
RNAcentral lists this ribosomal RNA (468 nucleotides) under uncultured bacterium. Its description in RNAcentral is "partial 16S ribosomal RNA". It matches the Rfam family "Bacterial small subunit ribosomal RNA", at positions 28 to 507 of the family's 1533-position model. The record is from RNAcentral.